Molecule: transfer RNA, 73 nt
Filed under: Rhizobium sp. Leaf383
Lineage: Bacteria; Pseudomonadati; Pseudomonadota; Alphaproteobacteria; Hyphomicrobiales; Rhizobiaceae
Description: tRNA-Pro
Source: RNAcentral
CGGCGGCUUGAUUACUCUGGCCGCCACGUUCGGGACGUGGGGGUCGCAAGUUCGAAUCUUGCCACUCCGACCA